Canis lupus familiaris (dog) is the source of this 898-nucleotide long non-coding RNA. RefSeq lists it as uncharacterized. The transcript is spliced from 3 exons. The record is from RefSeq and is a predicted model, not a curated record. Lineage: Eukaryota; Metazoa; Chordata; Mammalia; Carnivora; Canidae.
UCACCACCCUGAGAUCAUGACUUGAGCCAAAAUCAUGAGUUAGACACUUAAACUGACUGAGCCCCUCAGCAAUUAUUUAUUGAGCACUCCUUUGAACCAGGUGCUUUUCCUGGCACCGAUGACGUUGUUCCAGAGCAGGGAGACAGACAAGAAAAGGUCAACAUAUGGGCUCUCAACAUUAAACACGGAGGUCUAGGAACUUCGGCUUGCCCAAGAGUUUAUCUGGAGCCGGGAGGCCCCAGAUCAGGCUCAGAGGAGUCCUGCUUUCAGAAUCAGAGCAACUGAUGGAGACACCAGUGGGCCUGAGCUGAGUCCAAGCCAGAGAAAUAUUUAUUUAGGUGGACUGAGCCAGAACAGGCAUGCUGAUCUGGGCCCAUUGCAAGGUGAAAACAACGCAGACCCUUGUGCCAACGGACAGCCCAAUGCUCCACACUACCAUGGCAUCAAGUAGUUAUUUAUGAAGGACCCAGCUCCCUUACCACCCUCCUCCAAGAACUUAUCAACAAUCUCCGAAUACCCUGUGAAAUGAAGCCCAUUAGAAGGCCUACCUUGAACUCUCUCUCAGUCUUCCCCAGUCAACAAAUCCAUUCUUUACUCUUCAACCUCCAACCCUAAGGAAGGGCUUUAGAAAAUAGUAAGGCUUACAACACAUCACAGCCAUAGCUGAAGUUUAUUGUGCACCUCUUAUGUACCCGGCCUUGGCUGUAGAUUUCCUCAGCAGAUGGAAAUCAGAAGAGAGUAGAGAUGACAGGACAGAAAGUCCAUGUGGCUCCUGAGAGAUGGAAAGAAGAGCCAAACCCAGAGAUGCCUGGAAUUCCAAACCAGCUAGUUCCCACAUCUGGAAGACUCAUAAUUCCCCGAUACACUUGUAUUUUAACAAUAAACUCCUUAUUCUUUA